UACGGAGGGUGCAAGCGUUAAUCGGAAUUACUGGGCGUAAAGGGUGCGUAGGUUGUUUAUUAAGUUAUUUGUGAAAUCCCUGGGCUUAACCUGGGCAGGUCAGAUAAUACUGAUAGACUCGAGUAUGGGAGAGGGUAGUGGAAUUUCCGGUGUAGCGGUGAAAUGCGUAGAGAUCGGAAGGAACACCAGUGGCGAAGGCGGCUACCUGGCCUAAUACUGACACUGAGGCACGAAAGCGUGGGGAUCAAACAGG
This 253-nucleotide ribosomal RNA is filed under the name uncultured bacterium. Its description in RNAcentral is "partial 16S ribosomal RNA". It matches the Rfam family "Bacterial small subunit ribosomal RNA", at positions 524 to 776 of the family's 1533-position model. The record is from RNAcentral.